RNAcentral lists this ribosomal RNA (373 nucleotides) under Pseudomonadota bacterium. RNAcentral describes it as "Proteobacteria bacterium (activated sludge metagenome) partial 23S ribosomal RNA". It matches the Rfam family "Bacterial large subunit ribosomal RNA", at positions 2557 to 2925 of the family's 2925-position model. Lineage: Bacteria; Pseudomonadati; Pseudomonadota. The record is from RNAcentral.
AGCCGGUCCCAAGGGUAUGGCUGUUCGCCAUUUAAAGUGGUACGUGAGCUGGGUUUAAAACGUCGUGAGACAGUUUGGUCCCUAUCUGCCGUGGGCGUUGGAAGUUUGAGGGGGGCUGCUCCUAGUACGAGAGGACCGGAGUGGACGAACCUCUGGUGUACCGGUUGUCACGCCAGUGGCAUUGCCGGGUAGCUAAGUUCGGAAGAGAUAACCGCUGAAAGCAUCUAAGCGGGAAACUUGCCUCAAGAUGAGACUUCCCGGGAACUUGAUUCCCCUAAAGGGUCGUUCGAGACCAGGACGUUGAUAGGCUGGGUGUGGAAGCGCAGUAAUGCGUUAAGCUAACCAGUACUAAUUGCCCGUGCGGCUUGUCCCU